CCUACGGGGGGCUGCAGUGAGGAAUAUUGGUCAAUGGCCGGAAGGCUGAACCAGCCAUGCCGCGUGAAGGGCAGGGCCCUAGGGGCGUGAAACUUCUUUUGUGCGGGAGCAAGAAUGGUCACGUGGGGCCAGACGAGAGUACCGUACGAAGAAGCAGCGGCGAACUCCGGGCCAGCAGCCGCGGUAAUACGGGGGAUGCAAGCGUUAUCCGGCUUUAUUGGGUUUCAAGGGGGCGUAGGCGGUGAGGUAAGUCAGCGGUGAAAGGCCCCCGCUCAACGGGGUGAAGUGCCAUUGCUACUGCCUUGCUGGACUGCGGCUGCCGUGGGCGGCAUGUGUGGUGUAGCCGUGAAAUGCAUAGCUCUCACUC
RNAcentral lists this ribosomal RNA (367 nucleotides) under uncultured bacterium. RNAcentral describes it as "partial 16S ribosomal RNA". It matches the Rfam family "Bacterial small subunit ribosomal RNA", at positions 338 to 702 of the family's 1533-position model. The record is from RNAcentral.